This 403-nucleotide ribosomal RNA is filed under the name uncultured bacterium. RNAcentral describes it as "bacterial SSU rRNA". It matches the Rfam family "Bacterial small subunit ribosomal RNA", at positions 356 to 773 of the family's 1533-position model. The record is from RNAcentral.
CGGGAAUAUUGCGCAAUGGAGGGAACUCUGACGCAGCGACGCCGCGUGAGCGAUGAAGGCCUUCGGGUCGUAAAGCUCUGUCCUCAGGGAAGAAGAAAGUGACGGUACCUGAGGAGGAAGCCCCGGCUAACUACGUGCCAGCAGCCGCGGUAAUACGUAGGGGGCGAGCGUUGUCCGGAAUUAUUGGGCGUAAAGGGUGCGUAGGCGGCUUAUUAAGUCUGAUGUGAAAGACCACGGCUUACCCGUGGGGUUGCAUUGGAAACUGGUAGGCUUGAGUGUCGGAGAGGACAGUGGAAUUCCUAGUGUAGCGGUGAAAUGCGUAGAUAUUAGGAGGAACACCAGUGGCGAAGGCGACUGUCUGGACGAUAACUGACGCUGAGGCACGAAAGCUAGGGGAGCGAAC